CAGUCGACGCUUUGUCUUUACUGAUCUGACGAGCUUGCUCUGAUUUGAUUUUAUCUGACAAAGAGUGGCGAACGGGUGAGUAACACGUGGGUAACCUACCUCUUAGCAGGGGAUAACAUUUGGAAACAAGUGCUAAUACCGUAUAAUACCAACAACCGCAUGGUUGUUGGUUGAAAGAUGGUUCUGCUAUCACUAAGAGAUGGACCCGCGGUGCAUUAGCUAGUUGGUAAGGUAACGGCUUACCAAGGCAAUGAUGCAUAGCCGAGUUGAGAGACUGAUCGGCCACAAUGGGACUGAGACACGGCCCAUACUCCUACGGGAGGCAGCAGUAGGGAAUCUUCCACAAUGGGCGCAAGCCUGAUGGAGCAACGCCGCGUGUGUGAUGAAGGGUUUCGGCUCGUAAAACACUGUUAUAAGAGAAGAACGGCACUGAGAGUAACUGUUCAGUGUGUGACGGUAUCUUACCAGAAAGGAACGGCUAAAUACGUGCCAGCAGCCGCGGUAAUACGUAUGUUCCAAGCGUUAUCCGGAUUUAUUGGGCGUAAAGCGAGCGCAGACGGUUAUUUAAGUCUGAAGUGAAAGCCCUCAGCUCAACUGAGGAAUGGCUUUGGAAACUGGAUGACUUGAGUGCAGUAGAGGAAAGUGGAACUC
Molecule: ribosomal RNA, 651 nt
Filed under: Weissella hellenica
Lineage: Bacteria; Bacillati; Bacillota; Bacilli; Lactobacillales; Lactobacillaceae
Description: bacterial SSU rRNA
Rfam family: Bacterial small subunit ribosomal RNA
Source: RNAcentral